GAGGGUACAGCUCGUGGUAGAGCGUGUGCUUAGCAUGCACAAGGUCCUGAGUUCAAUCCCCAGUACCUCCA
Molecule: transfer RNA, 71 nt
Organism: Camelus ferus (Wild Bactrian camel)
Lineage: Eukaryota; Metazoa; Chordata; Mammalia; Artiodactyla; Camelidae
Rfam family: tRNA
About the family: Transfer RNA (tRNA) molecules are approximately 80 nucleotides in length. Their secondary structure includes four short double-helical elements and three loops (D, anti-codon, and T loops). Further hydrogen bonds mediate the characteristic L-shaped molecular structure. tRNAs have two regions of fundamental functional importance: the anti-codon, which is responsible for specific mRNA codon recognition, and the 3' end, to which the tRNAs corresponding amino acid is attached (by aminoacyl-tRNA synthetases). tRNAs cope with the degeneracy of the genetic code in two manners: having more than one tRNA (with a specific anti-codon) for a particular amino acid; and 'wobble' base-pairing, i.e. permitting non-standard base-pairing at the 3rd anti-codon position.
Source: Rfam